Molecule: transfer RNA, 87 nt
Filed under: Fidelibacterota bacterium
Lineage: Bacteria; Pseudomonadati; Fidelibacterota
Description: tRNA-Ser
Rfam family: tRNA
About the family: Transfer RNA (tRNA) molecules are approximately 80 nucleotides in length. Their secondary structure includes four short double-helical elements and three loops (D, anti-codon, and T loops).
Source: RNAcentral
GGAGAGGUGUCCGAGUGGCUUAAGGAGCACGCUUGGAAAGCGUGUGUGCGUUCACGCGUACCGAGGGUUCGAAUCCCUCCCUCUCCG